Molecule: ribosomal RNA, 250 nt
Filed under: Clavariaceae sp. 4 CRJH-2017
Lineage: Eukaryota; Fungi; Basidiomycota; Agaricomycetes; Agaricales; Clavariaceae
Description: partial 28S ribosomal RNA
Rfam family: Eukaryotic large subunit ribosomal RNA
Source: RNAcentral
AGAGCUCAAAUUUAAAAUCUGGCAGUCUUUUUGGCUGUCCGAGUUGUAAAUUAGAGAAGUGCUAUCCGCGCCAGCCUGUGCAUAAGUCUCUUGGAAAAGGGCAUCAUAGAGGGUGACAAUCCCGUCUUUGGCACAGAUAACUGGGGCUCUUGUGAUACGCUCUCGAUGAGUCGAGUUGUUUGGGAAUGCAGCUCUAAAUGGGUGGUAAAUUCCAUCUAAAGCUAAAUACUGGCGAGAGACCGAUAGCGCA